This 497-nucleotide ribosomal RNA is filed under the name uncultured bacterium. RNAcentral describes it as "partial 16S ribosomal RNA". It matches the Rfam family "Bacterial small subunit ribosomal RNA", at positions 28 to 507 of the family's 1533-position model. The record is from RNAcentral.
GACGAACGCUGGCGGCGUGCCUAAUACAUGCAAGUUGAGCGAUGAAGAUUGGUGCUUGCCCCAAUUUGAAGAGCAGCGAACGGGUGAGUAACGCGUGGGGAAUCUGCCUUUGGGCGGGGGACAACAUUUGGAAACGAAUGCUAAUACCGCAUAAUAACUUUAAACAUAAGUUUUAAGUUUGAAAGAUGCAAUUGCAUCACUCAAAGAUGAUCCCGCGUUGUAUUAGCUAGUUGGUGAGGUAAAGGCUCACCAAGGCGAUGAUACAUAGCCGACCUGAGAGGGUGAUCGGCCACAUUGGGACUGAGACACGGCCCAAACUCCUACGGGAGGCAGCAGUAGGGAAUCUUCGGCAAUGGACGAAAGUCUGACCGAGCAACGCCGCGUGAGUGAAGAAGGUUUUCGGAUCGUAAAACUCUGUUGGUAGAGAAGAACGUUGGUGAGAGUGGAAAGCUCAUCAAGUGACGGUAACUACCCAGAAAGGGACGGCUAACUACGUG